UUUCGCAUCGGCCUGUGUCAAUCGAGGUUGAGUUUAGUGAGGGUUGAAAGUUUUCGAUCUAGAUUGCAGAUCACUAUUGUCACUUUAUAUAAACUGAAAGUAUGCGUUGUUGAGUGUUUGUUUUUGUGGGCAUUUGACUGAACAGCCCAGACAAAUAUUGCUACCAACAUGGCACUUCGAAACAGACCACCGCAGUGUUAGAUGACUGACAAGAUCUAUGGGGGGGCCCCCUUUGGGCCCCCCCAUACCAACUUCGUCUUCAAAGGAAUCUAGUGCCAUGGGACUCCAGUGUCUUCAAAACAUCCUCGGAAUACACGUGUAUGAAUGGUCCACCGAAGGGUUGAUCUGGAAGCCACCACGGUCCAUGCAGUAAUCUGCUGCGUGGGCCGUAGUGGCUUCCAGAGCCAUCUUUCGGUCUUGGUCAGGAUUUGUUACAGUUGCCCUUCAAUGUAGCAGGCUACGGGUUUCUGAAGAAGCCUGCUUUACGUAGCAUUGGAGUACAAAUAUUGUGCAAAAUGCUCAUGUAAUUGCACUAGCACUGGUAACCUGUAGAUUAGCUUAGUUUAACGUCAUCGGUGCUGUCUGUCAAAUGUGUGGCUUACUUUAAGUCCACAAGGCCCUCUGGUAAACCACGUUGGAACACCCCUGGACAAGGUGAUUAGUCACUGGGUGUGUGCUAAAGUUUUGUUCCAUUUUUCACUAGUUGGUUAAGGUUUGGUAGAAUUGUUUGGAUGCUAGCGACGUGAUGGCGUAUGUACAAGAGCCUACCGUGGCCAGGCCUCAGUUGCGACGUCCACGGCCAGAUGGCCUAGUGUGAGUGCAACCUUGAUUGCAUUUGUAUACUGUUUACCAUUGGAUGUUUAUGCAAUUUGGCUUAAUUCAUCCGCUGUAAAGCUGCAUUUGACUAUUCCAGGGUCGUUUUGUACAGGCUUUCAAUUGACCAUGUUGACUAGUUUGUGGGAAGUUUUUUUUUUUUUUUCUUUUACCCUUGCUUACAAUCCAACGGUGGCGACCACUUAUGCAACUGGGCUGUGAACCUUGCAAUUCUAGUUGCAUAUUUGUACACGCAAGCUUGUCCAUUUCUAUCGCCAUCACUAACACUAGCUUCAGCAUUUCCUUGUAGGCCAUUAGCUGACUUGUGUAUUGGAGCGAUGAUUUGGGUAUUUUAAGAUGCUUGAAAACCUAAAAUAAAGCAAAAUGCGUGUCUGGUGUGCAAGAGCCAAUUUGUUGGCUUGCAGUAGUCGAGGAGUUGCCGUAGGUCGUAAGCCAUGUGGAGGUUGUGGCAAUGGAGGCUUGUGGUAGAUCUGCCAUCCAAGAAAGGUUAAUUCUUCUGAAGCAUGAUUAAUAGUUUAGUAAAUUGAAUCUAUUCAUAUCGAA
Molecule: long non-coding RNA, 1377 nt
Organism: Gadus chalcogrammus (walleye pollock)
Lineage: Eukaryota; Metazoa; Chordata; Actinopteri; Gadiformes; Gadidae
Exons: 2
Source: RefSeq, a predicted model, not a curated record